GCCGGGAUAGCUCAGUUGGUAGAGCAGGGGAUUGAA
RNAcentral lists this transfer RNA (36 nucleotides) under Porella platyphylloidea. Its description in RNAcentral is "partial tRNA-Phe". The record is from RNAcentral. Lineage: Eukaryota; Viridiplantae; Streptophyta; Jungermanniopsida; Porellales; Porellaceae.